GGUCUUGUGGUCUAGUGGUAUGAUUCUCGCUUAGGGUUAAACCCGAGCAUAGCUUGCGAGAGGCCCCGCGUUCGAGUCGCGGCAAGACCC
This 90-nucleotide transfer RNA is filed under the name Parastagonospora nodorum SN15. RNAcentral's name for it is "Phaeosphaeria nodorum SN15 tRNA-Pro for anticodon AGG". The record is from RNAcentral. Lineage: Eukaryota; Fungi; Ascomycota; Dothideomycetes; Pleosporales; Phaeosphaeriaceae.